RNAcentral lists this long non-coding RNA (569 nucleotides) under Piliocolobus tephrosceles (Ugandan red Colobus). Its description in RNAcentral is "lncRNA (ENSPTEG00000007344.1)". Lineage: Eukaryota; Metazoa; Chordata; Mammalia; Primates; Cercopithecidae. The record is from RNAcentral.
ACUCUAAAACCUGUAUUCUUCGUGUUAGAUCAUGUAGUACUGGUGAAUAUUGUGUUAUUAAACUUGAUACAUGUUAUUCUCUUAAAGCUAUUGUUUUCUUUGUAGAAUGUUCCAGAACAACACUUAACAAAACGAAGAACUAUUUCUCAGCAACCAACAAGGACUGUUUCUCAACAAGCAAUCUUCUCAACAAGGAAGAAUCGUAAGCUAUCUGAAGACUGCCUAUUCUUGUGUUAUUCACUGACAGUUAAUUACACAUUUUUUAUAUACUCUUUGCUUUAACUAUAGUGAAAACGACAUAUGGUACUGUGAGAACAGGAAAUAUAACUUUGCUUGAGGGCAGUGGUUCUGACAGCGAAAAUGAAGAUGGGGUUAAAAUCCAUCCUGAAAUCAUCAGUGGUCAGCCUCAUCGACCUACACACCCUGGUCUGAAACCUUCCCUCAAUCCUAUAGUGAACCCUGGUGUUACAAAGGAGGAAGCAACAAAACCAUCAACUGGAAAAAACAAAAAUGAUAAGUCAUCAUCAGGAUCAGAAGAGGAAGAUAUGGGAUCAUCCUGUAGUUCUAAG